AACGCUAGCUACAGGCUUAACACAUGCAAGUCGAGGGGUAGCAGGGUAGCAAUACCGCUGACGACCGGCGCACGGGUGAGUAACACGUACCCAACCUUCCCAUAACUCGGGGAUAGCCUUUCGAAAGAAAGAUUAAUACCCGAUAGUACUUUUUCAAGGCAUCUUGAGAAAGUUAAAGAUUUAUUGGUUAUGGAUGGGGAUGCGUUCCAUUAGAUAGUUGGUGAGGUAACGGCUCACCAAGUCUUCGAUGGAUAGGGGUUCUGAGAGGAAGGUCCCCCACAUUGGUACUGAGACACGGACCAAACUCCUACGGGAGGCAGCAGUGAGGAAUAUUGGUCAAUGGGCGAGAGCCUGAACCAGCCAAGUAGCGUGAAGGAUGAAGGUCCUAUGGAUUGUAAACUUCUUUUAUAGUAGAAUAAAGUGACCCACGUGUGGGUUUUUGUAUGUAUACUAUGAAUAAGGAUCGGCUAACUCCGUGCCAGCAGCCGCGGUAAUACGGAGGAUCCGAGCGUUAUCCGGAUUUAUUGGGUUUAAAGGGUGCGUAGGCGGAAUAAUAAGUCAGUUGUGAAAGUUUGCGGCUCAACCGUAAAAUUGCAGUUGAUACUGUUAUUCUUGAGUGUACAUAAGGUAGGCGGAAUUCGUGGUGUAGCGGUGAAAUGCUUAGAUAUCACGAAGAACUCCGAUUG
RNAcentral lists this ribosomal RNA (686 nucleotides) under uncultured bacterium. RNAcentral's name for it is "bacterial SSU rRNA". It matches the Rfam family "Bacterial small subunit ribosomal RNA", at positions 32 to 715 of the family's 1533-position model. The record is from RNAcentral.